This 895-nucleotide ribosomal RNA is filed under the name uncultured archaeon. RNAcentral describes it as "bacterial SSU rRNA". It matches the Rfam family "Archaeal small subunit ribosomal RNA", at positions 21 to 904 of the family's 1478-position model. The record is from RNAcentral.
CCCGACUGCUAUUUGGGUGAGGAUAAGCCAUGCGAGUUGAAUGGGAUACCUAAAUUUCCCAUGGCAAACUGCUCAGUAACACAUGAUCAACUUACCCUAUAGAGAAAAAUAACCUCGGGAAACUGAGGAUAAUAUUUCAUAGUUGAAUAGGCUUGGAAAAGUUUUUCAAUAAAAGGGAUAAAAAAAAUGGUUUUUAUCUGCUAUAGGAUAGGAUCGUGGACGAUUAUGGUUGUUGGUGAGGUAACGGCUCACCAAGCCGAUAAUCGAUAGGGGCCGUGAGAGCGGGAGCCCCGAGAUGGGUACUGAGACAACGACCCAGGCCUUACGAGGCGCAGCAGGUGCGGAACCUCCGCAAUACACGAAAGUGUGACGGGGUUACCAAAGUGUUCAAUUCUGAACUGUGGUAGGUGAGUAAUGUUCCCUACUAGAAAGGAGGGGGCAAGGCUGGUGCCAGCCGCCGCGGUAAAACCAGCUCUUCAAGUGGUCGGGAUAAUAUUGGGCUUAAAGUGUCCGUAGCCGGUUUAGUAAGUUCCUGGUAAAAUCGGGUAGCUUAACUAUCUGUAUGCUAGGAAUACUGCUAUACUAGAGGGCGGGAGAGGUCUGAGGUACUACAGGGGUAGGGGUGAAAUCUUAUAAUCCUUGUAGGACCACCAGUGGCGAAGGCGUCAGACUGGAACGCGCCUGACGGUGAGGGACGAAAGCCAGGGGAGCGAACCGGAUUAGAUACCCGGGUAGUCCUGGCCGUAAACGAUGCAUACUAGGUGAUGGUACGGCCAUGAGCCAUAUCAGUGCCGUAGGGAAACCGUUAAGUGUGCCGCCUGGGAAGUACGGUCGCAAGGCUAAAACUUAAAGGAAUUGACGGGGGCGCACCACCAGGAGUGAAGCCUGCGGUUUA